GAUGAACGCUAGCGGCAGGCCUAACACAUGCAAGUCGAGGGGCAGCACAGGUAGCAAUACUGGGUGGCGACCGGCGCACGGGUGAGUAACGCGUAUGCAACCUACCUUUAACAGGAGAAUAGCCCCGAGAAAUCGGGAUUAAUACUCCAUAUCAUUUAUGAAUCGCAUGGUUUAUAAAUAAAGUUCCGACGGUUAAAGAUGGGCAUGCGUGACAUUAGCUAGUUGGUGAGGUAACGGCCCACCAAGGCUACGAUGUCUAGGGGUUCUGAGAGGAUUAUCCCCCACACUGGUACUGAGACACGGACCAGACUCCUACGGGAGGCUG
This 325-nucleotide ribosomal RNA is filed under the name uncultured Bacteroidota bacterium. Its description in RNAcentral is "bacterial SSU rRNA". It matches the Rfam family "Bacterial small subunit ribosomal RNA", at positions 28 to 351 of the family's 1533-position model. The record is from RNAcentral. Lineage: Bacteria; Pseudomonadati; Bacteroidota.